RNAcentral lists this ribosomal RNA (465 nucleotides) under Vreelandella stevensii. RNAcentral's name for it is "partial 16S ribosomal RNA". It matches the Rfam family "Bacterial small subunit ribosomal RNA", at positions 338 to 795 of the family's 1533-position model. Lineage: Bacteria; Pseudomonadati; Pseudomonadota; Gammaproteobacteria; Oceanospirillales; Halomonadaceae. The record is from RNAcentral.
CCUACGGGUGGCUGCAGUGGGGAAUAUUGGACAAUGGGCGAAAGCCUGAUCCAGCCAUGCCGCGUGUGUGAAGAAGGCCUUCGGGUUGUAAAGCACUUUCAGUGGGGAAGAAAGCCUUGGGGCUAAUACCCUCGAGGAAGGACAUCACCCACAGAAGAAGCACCGGCUAACUCCGUGCCAGCAGCCGCGGUAAUACGGAGGGUGCGAGCGUUAAUCGGAAUUACUGGGCGUAAAGCGCGCGUAGGCGGUCUGAUAAGCCGGUUGUGAAAGCCCCGGGCUCAACCUGGGAACGGCAUCCGGAACGGUCAGGCAAGAGUGCAGGAGAGGAAGGUAGAAUUCCCGGUGUAGCGGUGAAAUGCGUAGAGAUCGGGAGGAAUACCAGUGGCGAAGGCGGCCUUCUGGACUGACACUGACGCUGAGGUGCGAAAGCGUGGGUAGCAAACAGGAUUAGAUACCCUAGUAGUC